Molecule: ribosomal RNA, 660 nt
Filed under: uncultured bacterium
Lineage: Bacteria
Description: bacterial SSU rRNA
Rfam family: Bacterial small subunit ribosomal RNA
Source: RNAcentral
AAUGUCAAGUCGAACGGUUGGUAGCAAUACCAAUAGUGGCGCACGGGUGCGUAACGCGUAACCAACCUACCCGAAUCUGGGGGAUAGCCCGCCGAAAGGCGGAUUAAUACCGCAUAAAACUGCAGCACGGCAUCGUGUAACAGUUAAAGAUUUAUUGGAUUCGGAUGGGGUUGCGUGCCAUUAGCUAGUUGGCGGGGUAACGGCCCACCAAGGCGACGAUGGCUAGGGGAGCUGAGAGGCUGGUCCCCCACACGGGCACUGAGAUACGGGCCCGACUCCUACGGGAGGCAGCAGUAGGGAAUAUUGGGCAAUGGACGAGAGUCUGACCCAGCCAUGCCGCGUGCAGGAUGAAGGCUUUCUGAGUCGUAAACUGCUUUUACCAGGGAAAAAAAAAGGGGAUGCGUCCUCUACUGACGGUACCUGGUGAAUAAGCACCGGCUAACUCCGUGCCAGCAGCCGCGGUAAUACGGAGGGUGCAAGCGUUGUCCGGAUUUAUUGGGUUUAAAGGGUGCGUAGGCGGCUGAUUAAGUCUGGGGUGAAAGCCCGUUGCUCAACAACGGAACUGCCCUGGAAACUGGUUAGCUUGAGUACAGACGAGGGUGGCGGAAUGGAUACUGUAGCGGUGAAAUGCAUAGAUAGUAUCCAGAACCCCGAUUGCGA